AUUGAACGCUGGCGGCAGGCCUAACACAUGCAAGUCGAACGAGUGGCGGACGGGUGAGUAAUGGCUGGGAAACUGACUGAUGGAGGGGGAUAACUACUGGAAACGGUAGCUAAUACCGCAUACCAUCAGAUGUGCCCAGAUGGGUUUAGCUAGUUGGUGUGGUAAACUCGCACCAAGGCGACGAUCCCUAGCUGGUCUGAGAGGAUGACCAGCCACACUGGAACUGAGACACGGUCCAGACUCAUACGGGAGGCAGCAGUGGUGAAUAUUGCACAAUGGGCUCAAGCCUGAUCCAGCCAUGCCGCGUGUAUGAAGAAGGCCUUCGGGUUGUAAAGUACUUUCAGCUGGGAGGCGUUACCAGCAGAAGAAGCACCGGCUAACUCCGUGCCAGCAGCCGCGGUAAUUC
Molecule: ribosomal RNA, 406 nt
Filed under: uncultured bacterium
Lineage: Bacteria
Description: partial 16S ribosomal RNA
Rfam family: Bacterial small subunit ribosomal RNA
Source: RNAcentral